GGUAUUAUAUAAAGGGGGUCAUUAGUUCGUACCUGCACAUUUGAACGACACGCACUGGAAAUUUUUUUUUACGAAGACACUAUUGAUGGUUAAUUACACGGCGCGACGGUAAAAAAAAAACCAUACAUAAAUACACUAAUCAACAUAAAUUAUAACAAGUCGGGCCCUUUGUAAAACUAGUGUUAGUGUACUUACUUAGCUACUCUAAACGUAUAUACAGUUUGAAAGUUGAAACCGAAAAUUAUAUUCUUCGUACGAAAUGAAAUCGUUUUCGAAGCUGGUAACUGCGCAGUAUUUUAUUCUAUAUGGCGCAGUAGGUAGAUAGGUAUAUAUCGAAACUAUAUUAUGUAUGAACUGAACUAGGUAUGUUGCAUAUAGGUGCAUAGACCCCUCGAAUGGAAUGUGUUUUAGCGCCAGAAUAAAAUGUAAAAACCGGAACAAUAUUUUAAUGUAUUGUG
Molecule: non-coding RNA, 458 nt
Organism: Cinara cedri
Lineage: Eukaryota; Metazoa; Arthropoda; Insecta; Hemiptera; Aphididae
Source: the annotation of a GenBank genome assembly